Dalotia coriaria is the source of this 609-nucleotide long non-coding RNA. RefSeq lists it as uncharacterized. NCBI's taxonomy places the organism in Eukaryota, Metazoa, Arthropoda, Insecta, Coleoptera, Staphylinidae. The record is from RefSeq and is a predicted model, not a curated record. The transcript has 2 exons.
CACCCGUUGAAACCGGAUUCAAAAUAUUAUAGGGGAGGGGAAAAGUCGGAAAUGCCCGACAACGCACGAAACAUGAUUGACUGACAGCGCAGUUUGAUUUUGGUGAAAUCAAACUUAGAGAAAUGCAAAUAAGCAAAUUCGACAUGCAAUUUGCUUAAAAAUCAACUUUAUUUGCAUGUUAAUUCGAUCAACGCAUAUCGCACUCUUCCAUAUCACCAGAAAAAUUAUUUUGCAGCUGUGAUUUUUGUCCGAAUGCCAUCAAAUCAGUUAUGUACACUUAGAGAAACUAAACUCCGCAUUGACUGCGCGGCAAUGCAAUGCAACGUAUGCGAAUAAUUUAAUCGAGAACCUAUUGAUCAAGCGUCACAACGUGUUUAAAACAUAAGUCCGGCUUAAUACUGUUCAUAAGUACCAUUAUAAAACCAACAAGAGCAGUAAGAAACACUAAAAUUAAUAAAACUAGUGGAACAAACGUAUUUCUGCAAAUCAUCGUGUGUCUGAUUGGUGCGAACAUGAAGAGAGAAAUGGAAAACACGCAUAUACAGUCACACGACUAAAAUGUACUUAUUUGGCUUCACUUCUUCCACAGCGUUCGGGCCUUCUCGGUCA